GGAGCCUGCUUCUGGGUGGGGCCAGGCCUGGGCUCUCAUCUGGACAUUUCCCACAAAAUCACUGCUCCACAUCCUCAUCUCAUGGCCUUCUUCUGGGGAACCUGAUCUGAGGCACUCACAGAUCCUGGGAGCUCGUGUACCCUGCGGUGUGGAGAACUUGGAGGCUGUUGACAAAAUCCAGCUUUGUGGUUUCGUCCGAAGGUGGUUGGAGCAGGUCUGAACUGAUGGAGGGAGCAAGAAUCAAGAUGCAAUGCAGAUUCUGGACUCUGCUUCCUUAGGAACCAGAGAUGGGCCAGCGCUCGAGGGUGAAGGAUUUGUCCUGAAAUCUUCCAGAUCCAGGAAAAACUGGCCACCUUCUCCUGCAACUCCACUUCUGGCCUCUAGAGGGGGCCGCCGGGAGCCAAAGCACAGCAGAGCUCAGCAAGAUGAACUCCCUCUGUGCCCGCCCCCGAGGGAAUGUCCCUGCUGGCAUUUGGAAAGCAGCUGGUUAACAGCGCGAGCGCGGCCUCCCCACCCUCACAAACUUCUCCACGACACAUUGCACCAUAAUUCUCCCUAAUAAAAUAAUAUGAAGCUCAA
Canis lupus familiaris (dog) is the source of this 579-nucleotide long non-coding RNA. RefSeq lists it as uncharacterized. The transcript is spliced from 5 exons. NCBI's taxonomy places the organism in Eukaryota, Metazoa, Chordata, Mammalia, Carnivora, Canidae. The record is from RefSeq and is a predicted model, not a curated record.